Nicotiana tabacum (common tobacco) is the source of this 385-nucleotide long non-coding RNA. RefSeq lists it as uncharacterized. The record is from RefSeq and is a predicted model, not a curated record. NCBI's taxonomy places the organism in Eukaryota, Viridiplantae, Streptophyta, Magnoliopsida, Solanales, Solanaceae.
CUUACCGGAUAGAUGGACAACUUUAGUCAAAACAGCUGAUCUUCGCGCAGACAAAAGAAGGGAAAGGGAAAUGGACAGAAAUACGAGGUGCCCGAAGAUAUUCUUGCAAGGGUCAAAACUCUCGAGACAAAAGAAGGGGAAAGGGACAGGAGUACGAGGUGCCCGAGGAUAUUCUUACAAAGGUCAAAACUCUCGAGGCUAUGUGGAAGAAAGACAAAACAGCUGGUGCCCCAAAGAAAAAAGGGGAAAGAGAAAGGGGAACAAGGUGCCAGAAACUUCUUGAAGCUGAACUUAUUUGAAAUAUGAAGUGAGUGGUCAAUGAAAGAUAGACAACUUGGUGCAAUAAGUUAAAUGAAACUAGAUGUAGUUUAAAUGAUUUUCCUAA